This 455-nucleotide long non-coding RNA is filed under the name Homo sapiens (human). Its description in RNAcentral is "non-protein coding lnc-CDY1-6:1". The record is from RNAcentral. Lineage: Eukaryota; Metazoa; Chordata; Mammalia; Primates; Hominidae.
UCAUAGUGCAUAUAAUAAAAUUCCAGCAGAGCGAAAAUGACUGUUAGAUACAAUAGAACACUCUAAGAGUCAUUAUCAAAAAUGAGCAUAUCAGUGUGUAAAAUGUAUGGUAGUUUUAUUUAACGGUUGUUUCAUUGUUUACCGUAGUGUUUUUUCUUACAAUUUUAAAAGAAAAGAAAAUUGACUUGUUUAGUGGAUAUAGAAACUUGAAACUAGACCAUGUACUGGAAACAAUUCAGUAUGCCUACAAAAGUUGGUCUCCAGCACAAAACAAUAAAACAUCAAAUGGUUAUGUCUUAGGCAGAUCAAAUAGUGUUAGGAUGACACUUGCAAAACCUUGCAAACUGAGUCCACAUGAGGAGCCAGAUAAUCAAGAUUCCUUAGAUGAGCAUAAGUCCUCUUCAACAGAAGAUGCCACAUUAUGUCCUCAUCCAACAGGAUUUAUGUAUGAACAG